RNAcentral lists this long non-coding RNA (1880 nucleotides) under Chlamydomonas reinhardtii. RNAcentral describes it as "long non-coding RNA (CREI_LNC001389)". Lineage: Eukaryota; Viridiplantae; Chlorophyta; Chlorophyceae; Chlamydomonadales; Chlamydomonadaceae. The record is from RNAcentral.
CCCGCCCAGGCCCGCCCAGCCCCCGCCCAGCUGCAUGCCGUGCAGCCCCCGCCCAGCCCGCCUGCCAGCCUGGGUUUAGGGUUGUUCAUUAUGGCCUGUAAAGUGUCUCCUUUAUAUGAUUCCACCUUGAUACAAGCCCUGCCCUAGCAGUGACCACACACAUCAGCCUGCUGCAUUUUAUGCCAAGUGCCCUCACCAACCCAUGUCAACUGCCCCCACGCACCAGUACUACUGCAUUCCACUGACUGCAUCAAUGUACUUCAUCUCGUGCCCAAGAGACCAACGGUGGCAGGGCAGCGAGGAGGUCACCUGCCUUGUGUUCCCAGUCCAACUCACCAACAACACCAUACUCAGUUAGCCCUCUACUUCCCUACACCUUGGCACUCUCCAGCUGAGUCUCCGUGCAUUCAAAGCCCACCACAGUCUUGCUCUCCCGGUCUGCCACUGUCUACAACACUAUAUGAAGUCUGUGCCAUCAACCCAAGCCUGCCAUAUGAUGUCUAAAUGGUAUGAGUGUGUCAACCGUGCAACAACCACUUGCGUGUCUGCUGGGCAUGAUGUCUCCCACCACCUUGACACCUGCCUCCACUGCAGUCGGCACAUCACCCGCCUCCACAGCAGCCGCCACUGGUGCCACCACGCCCGUCUCCAGCUCUAGUGCCGGACAGCUUGUAUCAUGCUAGCUCCUGUAGUUCUGCCUCCACUGGCUGCACCUGCAUCCACGCGUGCACACAUGUGAACACACCCUGCACUCCUGCCGCAAGGUGCCAAUGCCAAUGCAAGGCUGCCAGCAAAGAACAGAGUGCUUGGCAGUGCACCGGACCUAUCUCAUGAAGCGGGCCUGUAUGUGUUCCGGUGUGUAGGCCUAUUGGUGAUGCGAACACUCACCAUUGCUAAACACAAUGUUGGAGGUGUGGCGGCAGUCCAGCCAGCCGACCUGGGGGAAGGGGCGUGUGGCAGCAGGCGGGUAUGUGACACGGACUAGAGGUACCAGGAAGUGAUAUAGACAUACAUACCAUACAGAGCUAGUAAGGGAGGCAGCAAACAGUCAUCUCUUGAAGGCUCCGACCAGCAAACACAACGUGAGUGAAGGGGUUGUGAACCAUCUUGCGCCAGGGUUGCAGCCGCUGGGGACCUGCAUCUACCUGCAUCUACCUGCAUCUACGGCAUCUGCUCAAACAUAUUUCCUGAUGGUUUCCGCUCGAGCGCAGCGAGUUGUCGGAAACCAAGGUUUCCUGCGCUCGGAGUGUGCACAGUUGUGGGCCCCGAAGGGGCGUGGCGUGUGUGUGUUUGUUGUUUGGGGCCCAUGCGCGGCAUGGGCGGUGGGCCCGGUUAAGUAGCAGAGCGCUGUGUCGCGCUCGCUACUUUGCGAGUUUCGUUCUGUCAGUACUGACGCCGUCGUCCCUGGCUACGCUCUAUCUUUGCGUGGCUACACGGCGCUUCGGGCUCGCCCUCCCAACCCCGCACGAAGACCGCAGUUCUCUGCUUGCAGGUACCCUCUCCAUGGGCUCACCCUCGAACGGCUCCUGGCUCCGGUCCUCAAGAGCAUGGCGGAGGAUCCUGCAAGUACACAUACACACACGGGGUUGUGACAUAUGGCCGGGCGGGCAAUCCGGGCUGCAGGUUCAAAGCCUCCCAUUCUCAUUUUAACCUGUGGACUAACCUGUGGACUUCCGUGAGGCGUGACAACGGUCGUGAUGUUGAAUGUAUGGCGUUUUUGACCAACACUUCCCCAUUAAAACAUUAAAAGCAGAGCUGAUCAUUUGUGAGGCACAGUUGUAAGUCUCAUGUGAUAGCUGGCUUCAGCUGACGUCUCAGCAGCAGCGUCGCCGAGCUGGUCAACGAGCGGUCAGCAGCGCGAGAACUCGCGUCCCAAGNNN